GACGAACGCUGGCGGCGUGCUUAACACAUGCAAGUCGAACGGAAAGGCCCUGCUUUUGUGGGGUGCUCGAGUGGCGAACGGGUGAGUAACACGUGAGUAACCUGCCCUUGACUUUGGGAUAACUUCAGGAAACUGGGGCUAAUACCGGAUAGGAGCUCCUGCUGCAUGGUGGGGGUUGGAAAGUUUCGGCGGUUGGGGAUGGACUCGCGGCUUAUCAGCUUGUUGGUGGGGUAGUGGCUUACCAAGGCUUUGACGGGUAGCCGGCCUGAGAGGGUGACCGGCCACAUGGGGACUGAGAUACGGCCCAGACUCCUACGGGAGGCAGCAGUGGGGAAUAUUGCACAAUGGGCGGAAGCCUGAUGCAGCAACGCCGCGUGCGGGAUGACGGCCUUCGGGUUGUAAACCGCUUUCGCCUGUGACGAAGCGUGAGUGGCGGUAAUGGGUAAAGAAGCACCGGCGAACUACGU
Molecule: ribosomal RNA, 467 nt
Filed under: uncultured bacterium
Lineage: Bacteria
Description: partial 16S ribosomal RNA
Rfam family: Bacterial small subunit ribosomal RNA
Source: RNAcentral